This 506-nucleotide ribosomal RNA is filed under the name Corynoptera winnertzi. RNAcentral's name for it is "partial small subunit ribosomal RNA". The record is from RNAcentral. Lineage: Eukaryota; Metazoa; Arthropoda; Insecta; Diptera; Sciaridae.
GUCUUUUUGUAUUUUAUAUAAAGUCUAACCUGCCCAUUGAAAAUUUUUAAAAGGCUGCGGUAUUAUGACCGUACAAAGGUAGCAUAAUCAUUAGUUUUUUAAUUGAAAACUAGUAUGAAUGGUUGAAUGAAAAAUUAACUUUUUUAAUUAAAGUAUUGAACUUUACUUUUUAUUUAAAAGGAUAAAAUAUAUUUAAAAGACGAGAAGACCCUAUAGAGUUUUAUAAUCAAAACUAUAUUUUUUAAAAAGAUUUUUAUAAAUUUUAUAUUUUUUAUUAUUUUGUUGGGGUGAUAAUAAAAUUUAAAUAACUUUUAAUAUUUAAACCAUUAAUAUAUGAGUAAAUGAUCCAGUAUUAUUGAUUAAAAAAUUAAAUUACCUUAGGGAUAACAGCGUAAUUUUUUUUUAAGUUCAUAUUAAUAAAAAAUUUUGCGACCUCGAUGUUGGAUUAAGAUUUAAUUUUAGGUGCAGCAGUUUAAAUUUUAAGUCUGUUCGACUUUUAAAUUCUU